AUGCUCAGUGUCACUCCUGGCUGCUUUACCUGCCCAGAGCAGUGCAGGGAGAAUCAGGGAAUGGUUGUGGUCAGUACAGAGCAGUUUCUCUUCACCACUUGGCUUUCUCAAGCUUUCCCCCUGCUCUGCCUUGGGACAUCUCCUCCUCCUCUGACCUUGGUGUUCCCUGUGUUGUUCCCUUCUCUGUGCAGCAUUUUGCCCUUUCUUAAAUCCAUUUUCCCAGAGAUGAGGUGCCGCCAUCUUGGCUGCGGGGCCCGGCUGUGCCCUGCGGUGGGGCCGUUGGGGCCGGCUGGGGCCAGCAUCGGGCAGGCCCGGCAUCGCCUCAUGCAGCGGCCACACAGCACCCACUGCCAGCACCUGGGCACCUGCACCCAGCACAGCUACAUAAGGAUAGGAAGUUUUUCAGCCAUAAUGGGAGCUUCUACAUGAAAAGAGGAGAAGUAAUUUGCUUCUACAAGGAAGAGAGAGAAAAGACUGUGGUGCAGUGAGAUGUUAGAAGAGUACAGUUGAGCACAUACAAUCUUCUACCCCAGAUCCAGCUGUCUUUCUGAGUGUUUUCUUUCUUUUUUUUGAGUGGUCAAACUUACUCAGGACUCAUAAGAGUAAAGGUACUAGGAUUUAAGGUCACAGUUUUGCUUCUUAAUAGUACUCUCAUCAAUGAGCUUUUAGUGUCCUAUUUCAUCCCACUUGAGAAAAAGAUGAGAAUUUAUUAAGAGCUCUCUCGCUUUCUCCAAAUUUCCCAUUACCAAAUUAAGCAUGGAAAUGUGGUUUUCUUUUCCUCAGACACCAUUUGUUUCCCAAAAGUAAUUACAAUAUCAGCUUGAUAAAAGCUGCUGGUAAUUUUGUUAAGAAUUUUGCUGAAAAAGAGCAGAGUAACUUAACAACCUAAGAGAAUUGUCUGUGGAAUUGAGUGCAGCUGGGAGACAGCCACGCUACCCACCAGGAAUUCUAACCACUGUAAUUAGCAGCAAAUUUCCCUAUUUCUGUAUGUUAAACAGGGAAUUCAUCUUCAGUUUGUUUCUGCCUGGGGCAGGGAGAAAGAAAAUGUACCCGUAUGCCUGGGUUAAGUGGUAUUAGCUGCACUGGAAGGAAGCAAAUCCUCAAAUUAUACCAUUAUCUGAUUUAUAACAUGUAAAAACCUCUCCAAGCCAACUGUCUUUACUUCAGUCAUAAUCCAAAAAAAAAUGCAAGUGAAAAGUCAUAUAGGAAACACCUAUGUAGGAGUUAGGUGUUUAUAGAUGAGGUUGUUUAAAAAUUAAUGAAUAAAAGAUGAAUAUUGCCAUUGCA
Molecule: long non-coding RNA, 1287 nt
Filed under: Anser brachyrhynchus (Pink-footed goose)
Lineage: Eukaryota; Metazoa; Chordata; Aves; Anseriformes; Anatidae
Description: lncRNA (ENSABRG00000006656.1)
Source: RNAcentral